Molecule: ribosomal RNA, 431 nt
Filed under: uncultured bacterium
Lineage: Bacteria
Description: bacterial SSU rRNA
Rfam family: Bacterial small subunit ribosomal RNA
Source: RNAcentral
GUUAGGAAUAUUCGUCAAUGGGGGAAACCCUGAACGAGCAAUGCCGCGUGAGUGAUGAAGGUCUUAUAGAUUGUAAAACUCUGUUGUAAAGGAAGAACGACCACUAUAGGAAAUGAUAGUGGAGUGACGGUACUUUACCAGAAAGCCCCGGCUAACUACGUGCCAGCAGCCGCGGUAAUACGUAGGGGGCGAGCGUUAUCCGGAUUUAUUGGGCGUAAAGGGUGCGUAGGCGGUUUAUUAAGUUUAAGAUAAAAGCCCGGAGCUUAACUCCGGUUCGUCUUAAAAACUGGUAGACUUGAGUAUAGUAGAGGCAAGUGGAAUUUCUAGUGUAGCGGUUAAAUGCGUAGAUAUUAGAAGGAACACCAGUGGCGAAGGCGACUUGCUGGGCUAUUACUGACGCUGAGGCACGAAAGCGUGGGGAGCAAAUAGGA